Molecule: ribosomal RNA, 134 nt
Filed under: uncultured eukaryote
Lineage: Eukaryota
Description: partial small subunit ribosomal RNA
Rfam family: Eukaryotic small subunit ribosomal RNA
Source: RNAcentral
CCCUGCCAUUUGUACACACCGCCCGUCGCACCUACCGAUUGAAUGGUCCGGUGAAGCCUCGGGAUUGUGGCCAGUUCACUUUAUUGGGAGUUGGCUGCGAGAACUUGUCUAAACCUUAUCAUUUAGAGGAAGGU